AUUGAACGCUGGCGACAUGCCUUACACAUGCAAGUCGAACGGCAGCACGGGUGCUUGCACCUGGUGGCGAGUGGCGAACGGGUGAGUAAUACAUCGGAACAUGUCCUGUAGUGGGGGAUAGCCCGGCGAAAGCCGGAUUAAUACCGCAUACGAACUACGGAAGAAAGCGGGGGACCUUCGGGCCUCGCGCUAUAGGGUUGGCCGAUGGCUGAUUAGCUAGUUGGUGGGGUAAAGGCCUACCAAGGCGACGAUCAGUAGCUGGUCUGAGAGGACGACCAGCCACACUGGGACUGAGACACGGCCCAGACUCCUACGGGAGGCAGCAGUGGGGAAUUUUGGACAAUGGGCGAAAGCCUGAUCCAGCAAUGCCGCGUGUGUGAAGAAGGCCUUCGGGUUGUAAAGCACUUUUGUCCGGAAAGAAAUCCUUGGCCCUAAUACGGUCGGGGGAUGACGGUACCGGAAGAAUAAGCACCGGCUAACUACGUG
This 486-nucleotide ribosomal RNA is filed under the name uncultured bacterium. Its description in RNAcentral is "partial 16S ribosomal RNA". It matches the Rfam family "Bacterial small subunit ribosomal RNA", at positions 30 to 507 of the family's 1533-position model. The record is from RNAcentral.